Molecule: ribosomal RNA, 145 nt
Filed under: Vagococcus sp. FB7Dd
Lineage: Bacteria; Bacillati; Bacillota; Bacilli; Lactobacillales; Enterococcaceae
Description: partial 16S ribosomal RNA
Rfam family: Bacterial small subunit ribosomal RNA
Source: RNAcentral
GUAAUACGUAGGUGGCAAGCGUUGUCCGGAUUUAUUGGGCGUAAAGCGAGCGCAGGCGGUCUUUUAAGUCUGAUGUGAAAGCCCUCGGCUCAACCGAGGAAGGUCAUUGGAAACUGGAGGACUUGAGUGCAGAAGAGGACAGUGG